Molecule: long non-coding RNA, 1929 nt
Organism: Haliotis rubra (blacklip abalone)
Lineage: Eukaryota; Metazoa; Mollusca; Gastropoda; Lepetellida; Haliotidae
Exons: 2
Source: RefSeq, a predicted model, not a curated record
CUUCUGAUAUCAAAUAUAUCAACACUCGUUGAUAAAAGUUAAAAUACCCUCGGCAAGCCUCGGAUAUUUGUAACUUUAUCAACUCGUGUUGAUAUAAUUGAUAUCAGAAGACACUUGGGUGAGAUUCUCUAUGUGUUUGCAGCAGAGCACCACCCACUGUUACUGGUGACAGCGCCACUCUCAUCUCCGCCUUCCUAUCAUAUUCAUUGGGUUCACAACGAGGGUCAAUCAUCUCCAUGCUAGUUAGAUGAAUAUAGGAAUUAUUCUUUGUCAUCAUUAGGGUUAAGUGUGACAGGAUUAGGGUUUAGUGUGACAGGAUUAGGGUUUAGUGUGACAGGAUUAGGGUUUACAGGAUUAGGGUUUAGUGUGACAGGAUUAGGGUUUAGUGUGACAGGAUUAGGAUUAUGUUUGACAUGAUUAGGGUCUAGUGUGAAAGGAUUAGGAUUUAGUAUGACAGGAUUAGGGUCAUGUGUGAUAUGACUAGGGACAUGUGUGACAGGAUAAGAGUCAGGCGCGACAGGAAUUAUAUUUUCUGUGACAUUAUCAGGGUCAAGUUUGACAGGAUUAGGGUCAUGUGUGACAGAAUUAGAAUAUAGUGCAACAGGAUUAGGAUCUAGUGUGAUUCAGUGUGAGAGGAUUAGCAUCUUGGAUGGCACAAUUAGAGUUUUGAUUCUGAUCUAGUGUGGCAUGAUUAUGGUUUAGAGCCUCCAGGUUAGUCUUGACAAUGAUUUGGGUCUAUAGUAGCAGAAUUAAGGUCGGGAUGAUACAAAUAUGGCUUAGAGUGGUAAGAUGUUGAUAAUAUACAGGUUGACGUCUUAUUGCUGGAAUAUUGUUCAGUAUGUAAUUAUAUAAUAAAAGAGAACCACCUCUUCAUCCCAGUAAUGUAGUGUCAGUUGCUCUAUAUCCGUGGAGGGGCGGUGGGGUAGCUUAGUGGUUAAAGCGUUCGCUCAUCACACCGAAGACCCGGGUUCGAAUCCCCACAUGGCUACAAUGUGUGAAGCCCAUUUCUAGUGUCCCCUGCCAUGAUAUUGCUGGAAUAUUGCUAAAAGCGGCGUAAAACCUCACUCACUCACUCUGUAAGGUUAUUUCUGCAGGUCCACUCAAAGUUCUAAUGAUGACCUAAAAUAGACAAUGUGUAACAUGUGAAAUGUAUAAUUAGAUGUCAUGUGGGGAAUAUGAUAUUGGUCUUGUGGUUUAACCGAUUCCGUCCACGGUUCCAUUGAAACAAACAUGGCAGUGUUUUUAGUGAAGUAAUCAUUUAUUAUUUUAUGUUACCACAGGUAAUGAUGUCAUGAUAGAGUAAUAUAAAUUAAUAUGAAAAAAAGAUGGCCCUUAACUUGUUUUUAGUAGUAUGGUUUGAGUAUCAUGCUGAUCUGUAGAAAAGUUACAGAGAUUUGUUUGUUGUUUUGAUGAAUAUUUUAAGUAGAUGUUUUUCUUAAAUUUUAAUUGUAAUAGACAAUGGUUUGUAUAUUACUUCUCAAUAUCAUUUUAGGUGGAAAAAACAUAAUUUGGGUUCUUGGGCACUUUCAACAUAGCAUUACCAGGAAGCCUGAAGACCAAAGCUGAUUGUUCCUUGACAAAGGGUCCUUGAAGUUAUCUGCUCAAAUAGACCAGUCAAAGAAAGGAUUUACUAGAAUCUUAUGUUUUAAGGGUGGUUAACUAGUUAGUAGAAAAUAUGUUUUCUUUUUGUUUACUGAAUGGAUGAACAGACAGACAUCAUCAGUAUAUUUGUAACAGUAAUAAAUGAAAUUGUUUUGAUUUGAUGGUAAUAUCACUAGCCCUUUUCAAACAGAAAUUAUAUUUUCACCAGCACUGACCCUGUCUUUGUGUAGAAAAUUACAUUUGAUCAUAUGAUGAUUUACAAGUAGUAAUUUUUUUAGCAUUCCCAUGAUGACUUUAAAAUGUUAAUGAUAAAUGUAAAAAAGUGUU